GCCAGGCAUAGUGGUGUAUGUGUGCCUGUAGUCCCAGCUAUUUGGGAGGCUGAGGUGGGAGGAUUGCUUGAGCCCAGGAGUUCUGAGGCAGCAGUGACUUAUGAUUGCACCACUGCACUCCAGCCUGGGUGACAGAGUAAAAUCCCGUCUCCA
This 153-nucleotide non-coding RNA is filed under the name Chlorocebus sabaeus (green monkey). The record is from Rfam by way of RNAcentral. Lineage: Eukaryota; Metazoa; Chordata; Mammalia; Primates; Cercopithecidae.